This 28-nucleotide non-coding RNA is filed under the name Rattus norvegicus (Norway rat). Lineage: Eukaryota; Metazoa; Chordata; Mammalia; Rodentia; Muridae. The record is from RNAcentral.
UGGGGAGCCUCACGCUGUAAUGUUACUG